RNAcentral lists this long non-coding RNA (454 nucleotides) under Oryza sativa Indica Group (long-grained rice). Its description in RNAcentral is "lncRNA OsMH63_11G023930". The record is from RNAcentral. Lineage: Eukaryota; Viridiplantae; Streptophyta; Magnoliopsida; Poales; Poaceae.
UCACCGCCGGAGCGUGUCGCCGAGCCCGGCCAGCGACCGCCGGACCUCCGGCCGCCGCAUCACCUCCGGGUCCUGCAGGUGCGGCAGCAGCUCGGCGAUCAUGAAGACGCGGCGGGCGAGCUGCUCGCACUCCUUCUUGUUCUGUCGAGCCGUCAUCGCCGCCUGCAUGAUGACGGAGAUGAGGCUGCCGACAUCCGCCCCGACCAGCUGCACCACCGUCGCCGCCUGCCCCAGCCCGCUCCACAUGAUCUCGCCGUGGCGAUCUCCAAACUCGCAAGGAUUAACCUGUCUACUUGUUGCUUGGUGCCAAGAAGAGCAAACGAAUGGUAAGGUGAGGAAAAUCACUGGAAGGUGGAUUAUUGGGAUAGUGUACGACGAGAACGAUGUCAAGCAGUUUUGUCUGACCGAGGAAAAGGUUGGAAAUUGGAAGAAGGCGACACAAACAGGAGUCUAG